RNAcentral lists this long non-coding RNA (330 nucleotides) under Homo sapiens (human). Its description in RNAcentral is "HSALNT0218121". Lineage: Eukaryota; Metazoa; Chordata; Mammalia; Primates; Hominidae. The record is from RNAcentral.
AGAAGGUUAAUGUGUAACAGUCAGUCACAAAAAUGGUCAAAAUGCUUCCUCCUUUACGCUUUCUCAGCUGUGCUGGAACUGCCGCAAGGACUUGGGGAUCAGUCACUCUGUGUGAGGAGUGUUAAAUGUAAAGCUUGGGGACUGCCGUGAUUUGUGGGCCUCCCGGGCCACCCCCAUCAUCUGUGGGCGCCCUGGGCCACCCCCCUUCACUUUGCCUCUGUCAGAUGUUCCUGCGCGGUGCCCUCAGCAACGUGUCCCUCUAGAAUUGUGUAACUCGGCUGCUGGCUUUCUACUUGGCCUCUCAAAGAGUGUUCCUUUGGAGAUUUUCUC